GGAACGGUAGCUCAGUGGUAGAGCAGUGGAUUGCAGAUCCAAAGGUCAUGAGUUCGAUCCUCAUUCGUUCCU
Non-coding RNA from Hypoxylon sp. FL1150, 72 nucleotides. The record is from the annotation of a GenBank genome assembly. NCBI's taxonomy places the organism in Eukaryota, Fungi, Ascomycota, Sordariomycetes, Xylariales, Hypoxylaceae.